Long non-coding RNA from Helianthus annuus (common sunflower), 457 nucleotides. RefSeq lists it as uncharacterized. The transcript is spliced from 3 exons. NCBI's taxonomy places the organism in Eukaryota, Viridiplantae, Streptophyta, Magnoliopsida, Asterales, Asteraceae. The record is from RefSeq and is a predicted model, not a curated record.
CAAAAACACACAGAGACAAGAAGGAGUUUCUUUUCAAACCCUAAACCCAUCAAAAUUGCUCAAAAUCAAAGGGGAAAUCAAGCUAAGAAUUGGGGCUUUAACUAAAUUCAUGAUCACCUAAGCUAGGAUAUCACAAGUUUGACGCUUGACAAGCUAGGUGGAGGCUUGGAAAGGAAGCGGGUCGAACGAAUCAAGUGUGAAGGAAAAGCGUGUUUCGGAUGCAAGGUCCCAGACAUGAACCUGCUAGAAACUGGUCUCCCCCGCGACACGCGAGGGGACACCGUGACAUCGGCGCGACUCGCAACUGGCGUCGCGGCACGCGAAAGGACAAGGGAAGCCUCUCACGUGGCGCGAGAGGCACUAGUCCGGAAAAUUAUUUUUAUUUUGUUGGUUUGAUGCUACGAAUUUGUUUAAUGUUAUAUUUAAGUUAUCAUAACUAACUUUUAAGUUGGUUUUG